Molecule: ribosomal RNA, 399 nt
Filed under: uncultured delta proteobacterium
Lineage: Bacteria; Deltaproteobacteria
Description: bacterial SSU rRNA
Rfam family: Bacterial small subunit ribosomal RNA
Source: RNAcentral
AACCCUCCGAAAGGAGAGCUAAUACAGCAUAAGACCACGACCUCGUUGAGGUUGCGGCCAAAGCAGGCCUCUACUUGUAAGCUUGCGUUUGAGGAUGAGCCUGCGGCCCAUCAGCUAGUUGGUAAGGUAACGGCUUACCAAGGCUAAGACGGGUAGCUGGUCUGAGAGGAUGAACAGCCACACUGGAACUGAGACACGGUCCAGACUCCUACGGGAGGCAGCAGUAGGGAAUCUUGCGCAAUGGGCGAAAGCCUGACGCAGCGACGCCGCGUGAGCGAUGAAGGCCUUCGGGUUGUAAAGCUCUGUGGGGAGGGAAGAAUAAGAGCUGGCUAAUACCUUGCUCGAUGACGGUACCUCCUUAGCAAGCACCGGCUAACUCUGUGCCAGCAGCCGCGGUAA